UACGUAGGGUGCGAGCGUUAAUCGGAAUUACUGGGCGUAAAGCGUGCGCAGGCGGUUCGUCGUGUCCGAUGUGAAAGCCCCGGGCUCAACCUGGGAAUGGCAUUGGAAACUGGCGGACUCGAGUGUGGCAGAGGGGGGUGGAAUUCCGCGUGUAGCAGUGAAAUGCGUAGAGAUGCGGAGGAACACCGAUGGCGAAGGCAGCCGCCUGGCCUGACACUGACGCUGAGGUGCGAAAGCGUGGGGAGCGAACGGG
This 253-nucleotide ribosomal RNA is filed under the name uncultured bacterium. RNAcentral's name for it is "partial 16S ribosomal RNA". It matches the Rfam family "Bacterial small subunit ribosomal RNA", at positions 524 to 776 of the family's 1533-position model. The record is from RNAcentral.